RNAcentral lists this transfer RNA (73 nucleotides) under Bos taurus (domestic cattle). It matches the Rfam family "tRNA". From Rfam's summary of the family: Transfer RNA (tRNA) molecules are approximately 80 nucleotides in length. Their secondary structure includes four short double-helical elements and three loops (D, anti-codon, and T loops). Lineage: Eukaryota; Metazoa; Chordata; Mammalia; Artiodactyla; Bovidae. The record is from Rfam by way of RNAcentral. RNAcentral also lists the same sequence under 5 other names.
UCCUUGGUGGUCCAGUGGUUAAGACUCUGCACUUUCACUGCUGAGGACCUGAGUUUGAUUCUUGAUCAGGGAG